Nomascus leucogenys (northern white-cheeked gibbon) is the source of this 303-nucleotide non-coding RNA. It matches the Rfam family "Metazoan signal recognition particle RNA". From Rfam's summary of the family: The signal recognition particle (SRP) is a universally conserved ribonucleoprotein. It is involved in the co-translational targeting of proteins to membranes. The eukaryotic SRP consists of a 300-nucleotide 7S RNA and six proteins: SRPs 72, 68, 54, 19, 14, and 9. The record is from Rfam. Lineage: Eukaryota; Metazoa; Chordata; Mammalia; Primates; Hylobatidae.
GCCUAGUGCAGCGAUACACAUCCGUGGUUCCAACUACUCGGGAGGCUGGGGUGGGAGGAUCACAUGAGCCCAGGAGUUCUGGGCUGUAGCACACUGUGCUGAUUGGGUGUCCACAUUAAGUCUGGCAUCAAUAUGGUGACCUCCCGGGAGCGGGGAACCACCAGGUUGCCGAAGGAGGGGUGAACCAGCCUAGGUUGGAAAUGGAGAUGGUCAAAACUCCAGUGCUGAUCUGUAGCAGGAUCAUGCCUGUGAUCCCGCUACACUGCACUCCAGCCUGGACGACAGAGUGAGACCCUGUCUCUA